GGCCAGUCGGGCAGGGGUGGGUUCGGUGUGGCUCUGGGACAGGCUGAGCGUCCGGUCGGUCGUCGGAUCGACUGUUUAAAUCUCCUGCAGUUGCUCCUGGCAAUGCCCAAGCCAUGCCAGCCUCACGGGUGAGAGCUGCCAGCUCCUGGUGGGUCUCUCUGCUUGUCCUUGGGUUUCCCUGGCUCCGGGAACCCCCUGUCCGCCUCAGUCUAGCACUCAGCCACAGAACUUACCACUGCUGCCACUGCAUUCCUCGCCAACUGUACUGUUUCCUAUUCACAUCAUCUAGUUUCUUCUAAGAGUUCUAGGUCUUCCAGUGAGACUGAAGGGAGGAUGACCUUCCUUAUUUCCCCAUAUCAACCUUCAUGUCUCUUUGAAGACUAGUGCAACAGGUGCCCUUCUCAUGACAUCAUGAACCUUCCCCAGUCUCCAUGACUGAACACUUUUGAAUCAAAAUAGUGUGGCCUUCACAAUGACAGCAAACAGCUCUCUCAGCACUCUUGGAUGCAGCCUGUCUGGAGCUGAGGACUUCUGUGGCUCAAGGUUUCUCAAGCAAGUGCUGGAAACAGAACAAAAAUUAGGAGGGAACAUAGCUGGGACAGCUGACUGGAAAUUGGAUAAAGGGAUAUUCCACACUAUAUAAUGUAAUGCUCAUCAAUAAAAACUGGUUGCAGAGUGAAAAACAGUGUUGUCCUCAAACAUGUCUCUUGUUUGGAGAAUGGCUAGACAUCAGUCUGCUUGUGAGAGGUGGUAAACAACUGCCUUUGCAUCACCUGUUUCCUCUUUCCUUCACUUAUUAAACUGUCUUUAUGUUGACCCAUGAGUUUUUAGCUUUUGCUCUUCUUCUCUCUCCAUCCUGCUUGGGAGGGGGAGAGUCAGAGCCACUGUGUGUGCUUAGCUGUUGGCAGGGGUCAACUCAUCACAUCAUUCUACAAAAAUAUCAGAAUCAUUCUUGAUAACGUAAGCCUUUGAAAGCUAUGAAAAUUCCAUGUGUUUAUUUUUAUUUUGGUUUUUGUUUGUUGCAGAUUUAGCCACUGAACUAUGUAGCUGAUUUGAAUUUUCUAUUCUGUAUCAAUCUUCCUAUGUUAUAAUUUCUGCAAUUGAUAGCAAAAGUUAAAAAAAAAACCCCACCCCAAAACAGCUCAUUAGUGUCUUAACUGUAAUAGAAGUACAAAAUAGUAUUUUUUCAGAGAAUUCUAUAAGUAGGAAAGACACUAGAGGUUGAAUUUACUUGACCAGAUUUACAUGUGACAGCACACCUGAAUUUUCUGUAUUUUAAAGAUUUUUUUCUCUUUUAUUUGAAUUCAGAUGAAACCCAGCUGUAAAUGUUGAAAAUCUUUAUGUUCUUUUCUUCUCUUUUUAAGGAAUGUGUCCUGACCAAAGUUCUGGUGCCAUCCAUUAAGAGUUAAACCUCACAAAGUUUUCUGACUACUGUGAUGAUAAGAUUAUUCAACUCACAAAGGAGCUACUCUGCUGGCAGACAAGCUCUGUGUAGGGAAACCUAAAGUAAAUCUCUCAUAAAUUAAUCUCAGGACAGUACGAAUUUGAGAGGUUAUGGAGGAGUUCAGAUAUAGUGUUUGAUAGUGUUAGGCCAGAAGACCAAAUAAGAGUGAGUCUGAGUCUCCAGAGCUGUAGACAGAGUACUUAAUUUGGAGAAGUCAGAGCUACGGUUCCUCUGAGCCAUCCAUUCAUUUUCCAUUAGACACUAAUGCAGGUAUGAUUCCGUGGGCAGUUUCUAGCACUCAUGAAUGUGAAUUUCCCUCGUACAGCCAGGCACCACCAUUAAUUCGGGUUUUGGCUUAGCUUUCCAACCCUGUUUUUAUUUUCCUCUUUUGCUAUAAAAAUGGCUUUUGUUAUUGGGAAUUUUAUUGAUCUGAAUGUUAUUAGAGGUUGACCUGACUUUUUGUUUAAAAAGUUGAGACUUAUAAAUUAUAGGCCUGUUUCUUCCAUCCAGUUUGCACAUCAGGUUUUUUUAUUCUGAAAUAUAGCAAAAUUUGUUGAGUAAUUGAACAACAAAAUAUGAGAAAUCAGCUCUCAUAAGAGUAAUUGGAGAUGAUGAAAAAAGCAGUGUCAAGGUUUGGGAAAUUUGAAAACUUGAGUAUUGUGCUGUCAGUAUUAGCAAACUGACUGAUAUUGAGACUUUUAUUAUUAUUGUUAUUCUGUAUAUCUACAUCUCAUAAUUUGUUGUAGAUUUUUCAUUUCUUUAGCAUUUCUUACAUGAACUGUAACAUUUUCUAGAAAAUGAUUUUUCUGUGAAAAUAAUGCAUUUCUUCCAUAAUUAGACGUGUCAAGUAUAAACAUAGAACUGAAGAAAAGAAAAAAAAAGGAAAAUAAAACAAGAACGUACGUCUUCUGUGUCAGAAACAAGACUUGACAGUGUAAAACCUAAACUGAGAAGAGCACAGAGUAUAGACACAUUGGCUCCUGUGCAUAGUCUGACUUCAUGUAUUCAGCCCAUGCAUAGAAAUGAAGCAACACAGCUGGGAGCCACUGCCUGGAAAUAGCCUGUUAUCAGAAACCUGGCAUAAGUGAUGGAAUUUCACAAGCAAGGAAUAUGUGUUGUUCAUUUUAAUGACAACAACUUGUGCAGUAAGAGCAUCUGGUUCCUGAGAAUAUGGCUUUGCUUAUGUCUCAGUAUGUAUGCUUUGUCUUGUUGCUUACCCAGGUGAUUUAGUACAACAUUAACAUGGGCUAAAUUUCAUUGGACUGGAAAAGGAUCAUUAAAGUAUUUCAGAAGUAAAAAAAAGGAUCUCUUGCAGAUUUCACUCUGCGCUGAAAAUACCAUUAUGCUACACUAUAUUUCAGACACUUGCAGUCAGUCCUCUGUUGCAAUUAAAAUUGGACAAGCUGACAAUAGCCUUUCAGAUUUUAAAAAGAUACAUAUGUUUUUUUCUGUUGAAAUUAUAUUUCUAAAAACUCUAGAAUACUCAUUUAUCAUACAGUGCUAUACUCAGCUCUUUUAGCUCAUAAGCAAGCACAGACCUAUUGUUCAGCUUGAUUCUCAUCAAAGAGAUUAUUGUCUGCUUGGCAAAGAAAGAACUGAAGGAGACAUGUAAAGAAGAUUUCUGGGGACUAUGGCAUAUCCAUAAACCAUAUUAACCGAAGACUGACACUCCCUAUGUUCCAUCUUGCAUCCAACUUGAACAAAAUGACCUAAAAAAAAGAGAAUACUGUAAUUCAUGGAAAAAACACACCAACAUGUUAUAAAACUGCACAGAAUUUUCCUGACUGAAGCAGGACCAUGAAGCAGAAUGGCAAUACUUGGGAAUGCAAGAAUCUAUUCCGUGGGUAAUGAAACCUGGAGGGAAAGGGAAAAGAGGAACAACACCUGGAAAUACUAAAAUGACACCGAGGUAUCAAGUGUUGGUUUAGUAACAUGUUGCUCUCUGCCACAUGGGUAAUUGAUUACAAUGUAAAAGGGGUUUCAUUUUUUCAGUUUUUUCCUGCUUUUGGUUAUUUUUAAGAUCUCAAGAUAAACUGACAUUACCUACAGUUUCAUCGUGGUCAAUGAUUUCAAAACUGAAGCUGGCAUGGUAAACUUUAGUUAAAUCAACUAUUUGUGAAUAAAAGUCUCAGAGGACAUCCUGUAUCUUUGGUUGUGUAUAAGAGAGAUUUGCAGGAUAAAAUGUUUUAUAAUAUUAAGAAGCAAGCUGAAUUGAAAUCAAACAGAUAUUUGUGUUCUGGUUUUGGCUGAGUUAAUUUAUAUAUAUAUAUAUAUGUAUGAAAAUUAUAUGUAUAUUAUUGUUAUUAUCUUUUUUUUUAUCCUAUUAGUCCGUCUUUAACUCAACCCUCAAU
Long non-coding RNA from Grus americana (Whooping crane), 3795 nucleotides. RefSeq lists it as uncharacterized. The transcript is spliced from 5 exons. The record is from RefSeq and is a predicted model, not a curated record. Lineage: Eukaryota; Metazoa; Chordata; Aves; Gruiformes; Gruidae.